UACGUAGGGUGCGAGCGUUAAUCGGAAUUACUGGGCGUACAGCGUGCGCAGGCGGUUUUGUAAGCCAGAUGUGAAAUCCCCGGGCUUAACCUGGGAAUGGCAUUUGGGACUGCAAGGCUUGAGUGCGGCAGAGGAGACUGGAAUUCCUGGUGUAGCAGUGAAAUGCGUAGAUAUCAGGAGGAACACCGAUGGCGAAGGCAGGUCUCUGGGCUGACACUGACGCUCAUGCACGAAAGCGUGGGGAGCAAACAGG
Molecule: ribosomal RNA, 253 nt
Filed under: uncultured bacterium
Lineage: Bacteria
Description: partial 16S ribosomal RNA
Rfam family: Bacterial small subunit ribosomal RNA
Source: RNAcentral